Molecule: ribosomal RNA, 898 nt
Filed under: Cytobacillus eiseniae
Lineage: Bacteria; Bacillati; Bacillota; Bacilli; Caryophanales; Bacillaceae
Description: bacterial SSU rRNA
Rfam family: Bacterial small subunit ribosomal RNA
Source: RNAcentral
UGCAGUCGAGCGAAUCUGAGGGAGCUUGCUCCCAAAGAUUAGCGGCGGACGGGUGAGUAACACGUGGGCAACCUGCCUGUAAGACUGGGAUAACUUCGGGAAACCGGAGCUAAUACCGGAUAAUCCUUUUCUACUCAUGUAGAAAAGCUGAAAGAUGGCUUCGGCUAUCACUUACAGAUGGGCCCGCGGCGCAUUAGCUAGUUGGUGAGGUAACGGCUCACCAAGGCGACGAUGCGUAGCCGACCUGAGAGGGUGAUCGGCCACACUGGGACUGAGACACGGCCCAGACUCCUACGGGAGGCAGCAGUAGGGAAUCUUCCGCAAUGGACGAAAGUCUGACGGAGCAACGCCGCGUGAGUGAUGAAGGUUUUCGGAUCGUAAAACUCUGUUGUUAGGGAAGAACAAGUACCGUUCGAAUAGGGCGGUACCUUGACGGUACCUAACCAGAAAGCCACGGCUAACUACGUGCCAGCAGCCGCGGUAAUACGUAGGUGGCAAGCGUUGUCCGGAAUUAUUGGGCGUAAAGCGCGCGCAGGUGGUUUCUUAAGUCUGAUGUGAAAGCCCCCGGCUCAACCGGGGAGGGUCAUUGGAAACUGGGAGACUUGAGUGCAGAAGAGGAAAGUGGAAUUCCAAGUGUAGCGGUGAAAUGCGUAGAGAUUUGGAGGAACACCAGUGGCGAAGGCGACUUUCUGGUCUGUAACUGACACUGAGGCGCGAAAGCGUGGGGAGCGAACAGGAUUAGAUACCCUGGUAGUCCACGCCGUAAACGAUGAGUGCUAAGUGUUAGAGGGUUUCCGCCCUUUAGUGCUGCAGCAAACGCAUUAAGCACUCCGCCUGGGGAGUACGGCCGCAAGGCUGAAACUCAAAGGAAUUGACGGGGGCCCGCACAAGCGGUGGA